AGAGCACAACCCAUAUGACUCCGUGACCCGAUGAUAACUUGUGGGAGAAAACCAUAGAACUAAAAAUAAGUCACAGAGCUGAUGGGGGUAGAAACAAAAAGACUGCAAAGGCAAGCUUCUGGUGCUUUCCUGGACCGUCCACUAGCCAGACGACACGAUUCAGAAACUGCGAAAACCCACAAGCUCUUCCUUGUUAAAGCCUCACAGGGGCUUUUCUCACAGCUAUAGGCUCACUGAUGUCUCUAGCGGCAGACACCAGCAGGACCCAGCAGGACCCAGCAGGACCCAGCAGGACCCAGCAGGACCCAGCAGGACCCAGCAGGACCCAGCAGGACCCAGCAGGACCCAGCGCUCAGGGUACAUCAUGCAUCCUUAUAAACACCCUUCCCGAGUCUUCCUUCAGACUCGCUUUCUUUCAUCUUUUGACCAUGCAACAACUCCUAGCUAAAUUCAGCAAUGGAAAUGUUCAUAUGCUUGCCCCAUAAGCAAGCCACAAGAUUCACGGGAAGCUGUGUUUACCCUGGAACACAGUACAAGGAAGGAACAUGGGGAAGAGCAGUACCAUUGGCCAAUUUCACUUGACCUACCAAGAUCACACAGGUUGCAUUUCAAACUCUGAAGUGUAGUUCUACUUAAAGUGUCACCUUGGAGAUAAAUUAUCCUCUG
Molecule: long non-coding RNA, 666 nt
Filed under: Mus caroli (Ryukyu mouse)
Lineage: Eukaryota; Metazoa; Chordata; Mammalia; Rodentia; Muridae
Description: lncRNA (MGP_CAROLIEiJ_G0006273.1)
Source: RNAcentral